AUACGUAGGGUGCGAGCGUUUUCCGGAAUUACUGGGCGUAAAGAGCUCGUAGGUGGUUUGUCGCGUCGUCUGUGAAAUUCCGGGGCUUAACUCCGGGCGUGCAGGCGAUACGGGCAGAACUUGAGUACUGUAGGGGAGACUGGAAUUCCUGGUGUAGCGGUGAAAUGCGCAGAUAUCAGGAGGAACACCGGUGGCGAAGGCGGGUCUCUGGGCAGUAACUGACGCUGAGGAGCGAAAGCAUGGGUAGCGAACAGGAUUAGAUACCCUGGUAGUCCAUGCCGUAAACGGUGGGCGCUAGGUGUAGGGGUCUUCCACGACUUCUGUGCCGUAGCUAACGCAUUAAGCGCCCCGCCUGGGGAGUACGGCCGCAAGGCUAAAACUCAAAUGAAUUGACGGGG
This 398-nucleotide ribosomal RNA is filed under the name uncultured bacterium. Its description in RNAcentral is "partial 16S ribosomal RNA". It matches the Rfam family "Bacterial small subunit ribosomal RNA", at positions 523 to 918 of the family's 1533-position model. The record is from RNAcentral.